CUCGGUGUUACAAACACAUUUCAGCCGGCACCUCAGAAGUGUUGAAGUUUGACACUGAGCCCUUGUUCCGGCUGCUGAGCAACUACAACCUUAACAAUGUCCGGCCUGUGGACGCUCGGCAGAGAGAUGUUUGACUCAAGUUCAGCCUUUUUAAGUCUGUUCAAACCAAUUCAAUCACAAACAGCCUCAAUCAUCAAAACCCGCAGAGUCACAGUCCAGACAGAGGAAAACCAGGUCGAGUUCAAACACACCACUUCAGAGUUUACACCUGUGACCAAACGAAGGGAUUAAUUUAAACAAGGACUUGGCCUAAAAUGGUCAUUUUAACAAUAACAACAACAUCUGCCUUCCAAUAACCCGCUCUGUGUAACUUCAAAUGAUCGAGGCUCACUGCAGGUCCCCA
Long non-coding RNA from Xiphias gladius (swordfish), 403 nucleotides. RefSeq lists it as uncharacterized. The transcript has 4 exons. Lineage: Eukaryota; Metazoa; Chordata; Actinopteri; Istiophoriformes; Xiphiidae. The record is from RefSeq and is a predicted model, not a curated record.